This 1590-nucleotide long non-coding RNA is filed under the name Monodelphis domestica (gray short-tailed opossum). RNAcentral's name for it is "lncRNA (ENSMODG00000029621.2)". Lineage: Eukaryota; Metazoa; Chordata; Mammalia; Didelphimorphia; Didelphidae. The record is from RNAcentral.
UGACCCUGUAUAUUUCUCUACCCUUCCAUGGGACUCAGUUUCUUCAUCUGUAGAAUGAAGGGGUUGGAAUAGAAUAUCUCCUAGGUCCCUUCCAGCUCUGCCAUUUUAUAAGUCUAUGAUCCCUGGCCACACUUACUAAGCCAUCAGCAGGGCAGAUGGGAAGAGACCACAUGGCGGUUUCCAUGGAAACAGAUUCAAACAAGGAUGUAAGGGAUCAGUGCCUCCCAUGAACUGAAUCUUCUCAAUCCCAUAAAAUGACCUCUCACAUCCUCUCACUCCCCAGCAAGGCUGAUCCCCUAUAAAUGUGUCUGAUAAACUCAAAAGCUUAAAAGAUGUUAGCAGUAAAGAGAAUUUUGGAACACGGAACAGAAUGCCAGAGAUAGAAAGAACCUUAGCAAGGAGGAGAAAUGAGAAACUCGGUAUGAGUGAGGAAUUAGAAUCCACUGACUCGGAAGGAAUUCAGGUCACUUGGCCUAGAUCUACAGCAUCCUAGACCUGGAAUAACUAAUCCACCACUAAGCAUUUAAAAACAAGAGAGGUGCAGCAGGACUGGGGAAGAGCCUGGAGUAGAAUCAGAAAAUCAUGAACUGGAAAAAUGGAAGGAAACACUUAUUUGGGGUAGAAGUGGAAGAAGAAGAAGAAGAAGAAGAAGAAGAAGAAGAAGAAGAAGAAGAAGAAGAAGAAGAAGAAGAAGAAGAAGAAGAAGAAGAAGAAGAAGAAGAAGAAGAAGAAGAAGAAGAAGAAGAAGAAGAAGAAGAAGAAGAAGAAGAAGAAGAAGAAGAAGAAGAAGAAGAAGAAGAAGAAGAAGAAGAAGAAGAAGAAGAAGAAGAAGAGGAAGAAGAGGAAGAAGAGGAAGAAGAGGAAGAAGAGGAAGAAGAGGAAGAAGAGGAAGAAGAGGAAGAAGAGGAAGAAGAGGAAAAGCAGAAGCAACUUGGUUUGAGAUAGCUCCAGUUUGAGGCAGUGGCAAGAUACCCAGGAGCCAGUAAUGAAGGAAAGGCUGACUGAUGGAAGGAGGUAGUAGAUUAGCCCCUGGAGCAAUAUCUCGGAAUAGACAUGAGGUAAUGUAAUCAAAGGCACAAAGAGAAAGGUUAGGGUAAGAAAAUGGAAAUGAUACUACUUCAUCCAAGAAGGAAGGGAAAAAGAAGAGUGACAAUUCUUUUUAAAGUGACCAUAUGGAGAAGUGACAAGGAAUGGGGUGGGAGGAGAGAGUGGGGGAAAGAGCUUAUGUUAGUUAACCUUCCUCUUCUUACUAAAAGACUAAACCAUCCAUUCUAAGUAUGCAACUGGGGCAAUGGGCUUGAAAGAGCAGAAAAGGCUCAGAGCUCUUUCUGUAGGGGCUGAGAUACAGAGUCAGUGGGGUUGAAUGGGAAGCAGAGUGACAUCAUACCAUGCAAGCUGGCUUUAGCAUCAGGAAGGCCUCGGUUCAAGGCCCGUAUCUGCCAUAUCCUGGCUCAAUAACCCCUAGAAAAUUCCCUGCUCAGUGCCCCCAGACAGCUCUCUCUCUAAGAUUAUAAAUUACAGGUUCUAAUCCAUAGGUCUGAUUUUUAAAAAGAAGAUGGGAGUGGAAAAUAAAGGAAUCUCUGGACCACA